GAUGAACGCUGGCGGCGUGCCUAAUACAUGCAAGUCGAGCGAACAGACGAGGAGCUUGCUCCUCUGACGUUAGCGGCGGACGGGUGAGUAACACGUGGAUAACCUACCUAUAAGACUGGGAUAACUUCGGGAAACCGGAGCUAAUACCGGAUAAUAUAUUGAACCGCAUGGUUCAAUAGUGAAAGACGGUUUUGCUGUCACUUAUAGAUGGAUCCGCGCCGCAUUAGCUAGUUGGUAAGGUAACGGCUUACCAAGGCAACGAUGCGUAGCCGACCUGAGAGGGUGGUCGGCCGCACUGGAGCUGAGACACGGUCCAGGCUCCUGCGGGAGGCAGCAGUAGGGAAUCGUCGGCAGUGGGCGGAAGCAUGACGGAACGACGCCGAGUGAGUGAUGAAGGUCUUCGGAUCGUAAAACUCUGUUAUUAGGGAAGAACAAAUGUGUAAGUAACUAUGCACGUCUUGACGGUACCUAAUCAGAAAGCCACGGCUAACUACGUG
RNAcentral lists this ribosomal RNA (497 nucleotides) under uncultured bacterium. RNAcentral's name for it is "partial 16S ribosomal RNA". It matches the Rfam family "Bacterial small subunit ribosomal RNA", at positions 28 to 507 of the family's 1533-position model. The record is from RNAcentral.